AGGUGUUUACAGACUGGAGAGAAAAUGGAACAUAUUUGAAUCACAAAAUCUGAGAAUUGAAAGAACCUGAGAAGCUAUGUGAUCAGACUUCAUACUCCAUGGAGAUCAUGAUGUAAGAAUAUUUACAUUCCCUGACAAGAUUAUACUACAAGGAAGCUUCCAACUAAAAAGGGCCAAGAAAAUUUUUAAAAAUGAAGACUUUCAUCAGAAUUUGAGUUAAGGAACUGUGAUAACCCCUUACCACAAAAUUUGAGGAAUCUUGGUUUGAUAUAUUGGAUUUACAACAGUAUUAAAGACUGAUUCACAAAUCUUCUUCCCAAGGGAAUGGAGCACCAUUGCAGAGAGUAAGAAAAGGAAGCCCUGGAAAUGGAAGCCCUGGAAGAAUAUUCCAGAAAGCCUUAUGUUGGAGGACUUGGCUGAGUCCUGGAACACUCUGAAAAAUCAGGUGUGGCUAUUAAGAGGAGCCUCUGGUCACCAUGGUUGAAGAACAGGCUGAAUCUCGAGCAGGGCUUUGAGAGAAAGUGGCAGCUCUACCCAGCAGACCCCUUCAGAGUAGUAUGGAGUUUUCAAAAUCCAGCUUCCCGGCCUUAGGAACUGACUCCACCAUGAGACAGCACUUUCAGAAAUGAAGAGGAAUCUCCUAACCUAAAGGGGGAAAAGCUAGAGGGAAUGCUGUCAUAUUGAAAGAUGAGGUUCAUUUUACAGAGCUGCUGCAGGUAAAGAGCAACCAGAAACAGUUUUUGCUGGAGAGAGAGCAAGGCCAUUGCUUCCCUGUGCCUGAACUUCCUGUCACUACAGCCAGUUAACCUUAACCUGCGAGGAACACUUUUAAAGCUAGAGGCAUCCCUGGUAUGAAAUAGAAUGCACCCCUUUGGCUAGACAUCUACAGCUUCUUGAAGGAAAUGCACAAGGACAUAGCCACACUUUGUAUCUGGAGUAGAGAUUAGGCCAAAUUGAGAGAGGUAGAAAGCUGGUCCAUGGUGCAGUGGUACCAACAAAGAAAGAAAACCAUACAGAGAAAAAUUGCCCUCCUGAGACUCUACACUCCAUCCCCACUGACUGUCUCUUCUGGCUACUGACACCCAAGUUUUGAAAUAGUUACAUGAUUUGUUUCCCCUUAAUUGUCAUUCAGGAUUGCAGAUUAACUUCUAAAAGGGAUAUAUAGAAGUUAAGAAAAAAAAAAAAAGAACAGGAAGAAACCCAAGGAGAAUUGGCAUAGAUUCUUUUGGUGUA
Molecule: long non-coding RNA, 1233 nt
Organism: Leopardus geoffroyi (Geoffroy's cat)
Lineage: Eukaryota; Metazoa; Chordata; Mammalia; Carnivora; Felidae
Exons: 2
Source: RefSeq, a predicted model, not a curated record